Molecule: long non-coding RNA, 406 nt
Filed under: Mustela putorius furo (domestic ferret)
Lineage: Eukaryota; Metazoa; Chordata; Mammalia; Carnivora; Mustelidae
Description: lncRNA (ENSMPUG00000029365.1)
Source: RNAcentral
UUUAUUCUUAUUUUUAUUGCCAAGAGGAGGAAAUCAUCCUUCCUGUCCCGUUCUUGCUGGAGCCUGGAGUAGCCAUGGAAAACAGGCCCAGCCCAGCUGGCUAGAUCCUGACCCACACGUGUCUGCUUGCCUUUGUCAUCUCAGCUGACGCCCACUAACUUCACAAAGCAGGAGCACCUACCUGGAGGCCUGGAAGCCGACUGCAAACGUGGCUUCCAUGAGGAUUCAAGACUUAACACACUGAAUAGUAUAGCUUGGGGUUCUCAGAAGAAAGAUGCCAGUGGAACAAAGAACACCACAAUUAAUGCUCUCAGUAACUUACAGUUAUGACCCUAAAGCAAAAACUAAAGCUGAUAAUUCAAGUCUGAAGUACUGAACUCCAUAAUGACGAUCCUCCAGAGAGGAA